UAAUGGCUGGUGGACUGUUUGCGAUUAGCAAAACAUUUUUUGAUAAUCUUGGCCAGUAUGACCCUGGCAUGGAAGUUUGGGGCGGUGAACAAUAUGAAUUAUCAUUUAAGGUUAGUAAGAUAGUCUUUUGUUGUUAAUAACCUAAUCGGUGAUUAAUUAAUCAUGUUUUUAUGCAAUGAAUACUCUGCGAUAAGACACUUUUCUCUGCUAGACUCCCGGGGGCUAUUGAAUACGAUAGUAGAAUUUUGUGAAUUUCAUAGCAGGCUCAAUAUUUUUGUCUCAAUUUUAAAUAUAUGUAGUAUUUAAAACACGAGAAGGA
Non-coding RNA from Paramuricea clavata, 319 nucleotides. NCBI's taxonomy places the organism in Eukaryota, Metazoa, Cnidaria, Anthozoa, Malacalcyonacea, Plexauridae. The record is from the annotation of a GenBank genome assembly.